UUCACCGCGAGGUGAAAUCUGAAGGAAGCCGAAGGCAGAACGCUGUCCGGCGCUGCUGGCAAGUGACCGCC
Non-coding RNA from Immundisolibacter cernigliae, 71 nucleotides. The record is from Rfam. NCBI's taxonomy places the organism in Bacteria, Pseudomonadati, Pseudomonadota, Gammaproteobacteria, Immundisolibacterales, Immundisolibacteraceae.